AAUAAAUCAAUUUUUUACUUUUUACCUUCAAUUUUUUGACUCUUCGCCUUAUUCAAAAUUUUUUUGCGAUUGAUAUUUUUGUUUUUAUUAGAUAAUUAAUCAUGAAUAGUACUUUACAUGUGACUAAUUUUUUUUAAUUUUUUAAAAUUUUUUUAAAUAAGACGGAUGGUUAAACGUUGGACAUGGAAACUGGAGAAUUCGUUUUUU
This 207-nucleotide microRNA precursor is filed under the name Oryza brachyantha (malo sina). RNAcentral's name for it is "MIR812 microRNA precursor family". It matches the Rfam family "MIR812 microRNA precursor family". The record is from Rfam by way of RNAcentral. Lineage: Eukaryota; Viridiplantae; Streptophyta; Magnoliopsida; Poales; Poaceae.